UCAAUUAUCAAACCAUGACAUGGCAAAGAUAAAAAGUAAAAAGACCACCGAACCCUAGCUCCGCCGCCUGAGUUCCGAUAAUGCGGCCACGCACCAGGGCGGCGCGGCCGCCGCCGGAGCUGAUGGACGACAUCGUGGAGGAGAUCCUCCUCCGCAUCCCGCCCGCCGACCCCGCGAGUCUCGUGCGCGCCGCCGCCUCGUGCAAGCAAUGGUGGCGCCUCGUCUCCGGGCCCGGCUUCCGCCGCCGGUGGUUUCGCGGGAUCCACCGUGCGCCGCUCAUGCUGGGCGCCGUCCGCAGCAUCCUCUACAACGGCCGCACCAACGUCAGCUUCGUCCCCGCCUUCCCCUUCCUCCAGCCCCGCGCCGGCCGCCGCGGCUGGCGCGCGCUCGACUCCCGCGACGGCCGCGUGCUCCUCCACCGCGAGCAGAGGUGCCUCAGAGAAAAAAACGUCCUCGCCGUCUGGAACCCCGUCACGGACGAGCAGCGGGAACUGCCCGCCCUUCCGGGCUUCAGCGGAAUUUGCGCAGCGGUCCUCUGUGACGCCUCCGCCGCCGGCGACAACCUCGCCUGCAGCUCUGGGCCCUUCCUUGUCGCCUUCAUAGGUUCCGGCCAUGAGGGCACAUGCAUCCGCGUCUACUCAUCGGAAUCCGAUGCGUGGGGUGAGCCGGCCUCUGCUUGGUACCCUGGUUACCUUAACAAGGAAGUGCGCGGCGUCUGUGUGGGGAACGCAGUCUACUUCGCGCUCCGGGCCAUCACAAGAAUCCUCGAGUACGACCUCGGAACAGGGGGAGUGACUGUGAUUGACCCGCCACCAAUGUCAAGCGAUCUCGUUGCGCUGAUGACCGCAGAGGGCGGUGGUCUUGGAUGCGCCACAGAGAAAGGGUGCAGACUCCAGAUGUGGUCGAGGGAGGUUGGUUCAGAUGGACUGAUGGGAUGGUCGCAAUGGAAAGCCUUCAGGCUCAGGACGAUGAAACCUGUUGGUUGUGACAUUUUGACACUUCAUGUGGUUGGCUUUGAAGACGGCGGCGGCAUCAUCUAUGUGGGGACAGAUCAGGGGUCCUUCACUACUGAUUUGAAGUCCGGCAGGUACCUGAGAAAAGUGGAAGGGGUCGGUGGCAGUGAGGACAUUCUUCCGUACAUGACCUGCUAUGAUCCAGAUGGCAAUCCAUCAGCCCAUACCUCAGGGCUGGAUCUGGAAGCAAAGUAAUUCUAUGAUGGAAGUGGCAUGGCAAUAUUUCUGCCAAGAUUAAAGUUGUUACUUGUAGUUAAUUUAAUCAUGCAUGUUACCUCAUUUGGACUGUAAUUUGACACUUGAGAAUCUUGAGCAAAACAGAAAACAAGGUCGAACAUAAGAAAAAAAAAACAAAGUUACUGCAGCAAAACAAGAAACGUAAAGGCUCUGCUGAUCUUGGACUUGGAUGCAUUGCUAUUUCCAAGAUAAUAAUACCGAGAGUGGCCUCUACAGGUGAGGGUCCAAGCUCUGCUGUUUCAAGUGCAUGAAAAAACUCAAGCUGCUAGUGAAGGUCUUCUGAUAAAUCAAGAAGGAAGUGUCUGGUUAACAUCAGAUGGAAGUUGGCUUUGUGGCAUACCCUUUAGGUUAUGUGAUUGCUACAUGUCCUCUUCUUUUUUUCUUCAGCCAGUCGCCUAGAAGUUGCUGUAAAGCUUUCUUGGGAUUAUCGGUAAGAUGGUAAACCCAGCAGUACCCUACCCCAUGUGCCCUCCAAAAUUGCAGCUCGCAAUGAGUUAGGAGCAAAUAUGGCUUCUUUGGUAAGAAAGUUGUGCUGAGGAGUAUGAUCAGACAAUAUUUGAGCAAUGAAAUCCUGAUGCACCGUGUUAAUCCAA
Molecule: RNA transcript, 1843 nt
Organism: Panicum hallii
Lineage: Eukaryota; Viridiplantae; Streptophyta; Magnoliopsida; Poales; Poaceae
Exons: 3
Source: RefSeq, a predicted model, not a curated record